GAAGUACUAGUGUUGUUUAUCCUGGUGGGAAAAAAUCUAAAUAUAAGUGAACUUUGUGUAAAGUUUUAGUUUCGGUCGAUGAAGGUUUUAGGGCAGAAAUAAAGCCGGAGUCUGGUGGAGGGUGGAGCCACUGGCGGGUCCAGCUGUUAUCAGCUGCUUUUACAGCCCGCCAGAGAGCUGCUGUCAGCGGUUUCACAGCCGAACUGUGGACCUGGACCUGGACUCUGCAGCCCUCAGACCUCUGCAGCACUCAGACCUCUGCAGCACUCAGACCUCUGCAGGUUGUCUUCAGUUUCUCGACCUGAGCUGAGUUUGUGUCUUUACCCAGAGAUGAAGAGGAGACUCCUGCUGGUGUCCAACUCCACCCUGCACGGCGGCGGCUACCUGGACCACUGUCAGCAGAACAUCUCACACUUCUUUGGAAAGGACGUGAAGAGGGUGCUGUUUGUUCCUUACGCUCUCCAUGACAGAGACGCCUACACCAAGACUGCCAGGGACAAGUUCCAGACUCUGGGUUACGAGGUGGACGGCAUCCACGAGGCCCCGGACCCCGUCGGCGCCGUCCGGAAGGCUGAGGCCAUUUUUAUAGGAGGAGGAAACACUUUCCGACUGCUGAAGAGUCUCUAUGACAACAAGGUGGUGUCAGAGAUCAGGAGGAGAGUGCUGGAGGUUUUCAUCCGCUUUUACACUUCAACAGUGAUCUUUGCUUACUGGACAUCCGUCCUCCAUUCUCCCCUUACGUCUCCCCCAGGACGGCGUCCCCUACAUGGGCUCCAGUGCCGGCACCAACGUGUCCACCAUCAGCAUCAACACCACCAACGACAUGCCCAUCGUCUACCCUCCGUCCUUCUCCGCCAUCGGCCUCGUCCCCUUCAACAUCAACCCGCACUACCUGGACCCCAACCCCAACAGCCGCCACAUGGGGGAGACCAGAGAGCAGAGGAUCACCCAGUACCACGAAGAACCUGAUACUCCUUGUGUCCUGGGUCUGAGGGAGGGGUCCAUGCUGCUGGUGGAAGGAAACAAAGCCACAUUACUGGGAACCACCAAGGCCAGACUCUUCACCCGGGGAAAGCCCUCAGUGGAGUAUGACCCAGGUAGUGACCUCAGCUUCCUGCUGACACAUUGACCAAUCACAAGGAAGUGGAACAUGAAGGUCUCACCCUUUCAAUAUUAUUGUUCUCAAUGAAACAGAAUAAACAUCUUAAAGAAAA
Dicentrarchus labrax (European seabass) is the source of this 1214-nucleotide RNA transcript. It is a transcript of the gene named Alpha-aspartyl dipeptidase-like, with no coding region annotated. The transcript has 8 exons. NCBI's taxonomy places the organism in Eukaryota, Metazoa, Chordata, Actinopteri, Moronidae. The record is from RefSeq and is a predicted model, not a curated record.